Molecule: long non-coding RNA, 6954 nt
Organism: Syngnathoides biaculeatus (alligator pipefish)
Lineage: Eukaryota; Metazoa; Chordata; Actinopteri; Syngnathiformes; Syngnathidae
Exons: 3
Source: RefSeq, a predicted model, not a curated record
AGUGUUCAAAUACUUAUUUUCUUCUUCUAACUGUGUAUCAUCUGCAUAGCUAUGACAGUCAAAAUUAAUCUUUUGAAGAAUUUGACCCAACGGUAGCAUAUACAGGCUGAACAGGAUGGGUCCAAGAACUGAAAAUUGUUAUAAUUCAGCCACAUUGAUGGUGUUUUUGAGCAUGACCAAUAUUUUUAAGGUCAUGCCACAGCAUCUAAAUCAGAUUCAGGUCAGGACUUUGACUAGGCCAUUCCAAAGUCUUCAUUAUGUUUUUCUUUAACCAUUGAGUGGUGGACUUGCUGGUGGAUCAUUGUCCUGGCGCAGAACCCAAGUUAAUUUCAGCUUGAAGUCACAAACACGUGGCUGGACAUUCUCCAUCUAUCCAUUUUCUUGGGAGGUGGUGUACACGCUGAACUAGUUGCCAGCUCAUCGCAGGGCACAUGGAGACAGACAACACUUGCACUCACAAUCACACAUGGGUGCAAUUUAGAGUGUCCAAUUAAUGUUGCAUUUUUUUGGGAUGUGGGAGGAAACUGUCUCUUUCUUACGGUGGAGCCAUUCAGAUUUACCUUAAGUGAGGUAUGUCAGUCCUGCAGGUCUUUGGAUGGAGUCGUCGCUGGGUUCUUGGGGUGAUUUUGGUUGGCCGACCACUCUGGGGUAGUUUCACAACUGUUCUGUGUUUUUUUUUUUUCAUUUGUGGAUAAUGGCUCUCACUGGUUUGCUGGAGUCCCAACACUUUAGAAAUAUAUUUACAUCUUUUUCCAUUCAGAAAGAGAUUUCAAUUACUUUGUCAUUGUUUUUUCCUUGAGCUUCAUGCACCAUGAUGUGUAGAUUUUAAGGCUCUUUUCGUCACCCUAAUUUUUUCAGGCAGGUCCUGUUGAAGUGGUUUCUUGAUUCAGAACACUUGUGAACUGGUAGCAAGAGAAAUUAAACUCAAGUAUGAUGACCCACGUUUAUGUUUUAAUGGCCGGCAAUCCGUUUUUGACACACGGCCAUGUAGGUUGGGUAAUUACGUCCCAGUUAUAUAGAAUCACACGUACGGUCUGGCCUUUGCCAGAUCGUUGCUUCAUGCCUCGUUCCCGCACUCUCGUAAUCCUGUUCCUGAUCUCCAGUGUACUCACCCAUGCCUGCCCAUUGACCUGCCUCCUACACCUGACGUCCUUGUUACUGCUGCUCCUGUUGACUGCCUGUCUGAUCUCCGACACUGGACUAAAUGAAUAUGUUUACCAAACUGCCUCUAUGUCUCCCGAGUCGUGAAUUUGCGUCCAACCCCGUCUUCUGGUCGUGACAGAACGAUCUGGCCAUAACAUGGACCCAGGCGACUCAGUUGCGGUCCGCCCGUCCUUGCAGAUCCAGGGCAAACGUAUUGCCGAGCAGGAAGCCGCUCUCCAGUGUUGCCAACGCCAGUCCACUGACGACCACCGCUGACUCGAGCCCACGUCCGACUGUGUGCAUGCCACUCUCCCGACCCGAGCAGUUCUCCGGAGACACGGGUUAUAUUAAACCCUUCCUCGUCCAAUGUGAUCUCCAUUUUGAAUUGGAGGCCCCUGCCUUCCCCACUGACCACUCCUGGAUAGCCUUCCUGAUAUCCCACCUGACGGGGAGGGUAGAGGCUUGGGCCACAGCUGAAUGGAGCCGCGGUUCCGAUACCUGCCGUACCUGUACCUCCUUUGUGUGUGCAAUGACGCAGGUGUUUCAAUAUGUGUCCCCGGAAUAUGAGGCGGCGGCUGCUUUGAUUUCGCUCUGGCAGAGGCACCGCAGCGUUACAAAUUACGCCAUUGAGUUACGCAUCCGAGCAGCGGAGAGGGGGUGGAACGAGAGAGCAUUCCUUGAAGCGUUCUUUCAGAGGCUCUCGCCCGGGAUUCAAAAUCACCUCGUCGCAGUGAAACUGUCCACAGAUCUGGACUCGCUCAUCGCCCUUGCCCUGAGGGUCGACUAGACUCUAGUCACUAGAGGCUCGCAAUACAGGGGAGAGUCGACACGCUACAGGGCAACUUCUAAUGGAGCUUCGUAUCACAGACAGUGAACCAACCGGUUUAGGCCUUUGAGACGGACGCCUUGCAAGUUGAGGGGGUUCACGGCUCCCCGGAGGAACGUCAACGAUGCCGGCGAGAAUGUCGCUGUUACUACUUCGGAUGGCUGGGCCACCUCAUGGCUCGGUGCCCACUCUAACCCGUAUGACCCGCACUCAAGGUCUCCACGUGAUUCUGAAUUACGCCGCGGACAGCCCGAUGCAGUCCCUGCUUCAGGUGACGUUAAGCGCAGGAGAACAUUUAUACUUGGCUACAGUGUUCAUUGACUCCGGGUCUGACGCUAAUCUCCUGAACCCACGAGUGAUUGACUUAUUGGGCUUAGACUUUUAGAACGCAGCGUCUCUGACGCGUUUAUGCGACCAAUGGCAGGUUUUUGUGCCAGAUCACUCACCACACUCAGACCUAAGACAUGAUGUUCCCAGACGCACAUACUGAAUGCUUGAGUUUUCACGUGUUCGAUUCACGAAGCAGUGACAUCAUCUUGGGGAGUCCCUGGCUCAGGCAACAUAACCCUCUCAUUGUCUGGCCAGCCAGACAAAUCAAGUCAUGGGGUUCGAAAUGCGGAGGCGUCUGCUUCGAAUCCCCUGAUAAGGAGGUUGCUUUGGAACCUCCACGGGCCUCUCCGCAGGAGCCAGAUUUAACCUUGGUCCCUGACUACUACUUGGAUCUGUUAGUGUUUUCUGAAGCAAAGGCUAAGUUCCUUCCGCCUCACCGGCCAUAUGACUGUACUAUUGAUUUACUGCCCGGCACCUCACCCCGUGGGGGAGACUCUUCUCUCUUACAGGCCUGGAGCACCAAGCCAUGAGGGACUAUGUUGAGGAGUUUCUGGCGGCGGGUCUCAUCCUAGCCUCGUCAUCACGCGCCGGAGUGGGCUUCUUCUUUGUAAAGAAAAAGGAUAAAUCCCUGCGCCCCCGCAUUGACUACCAGGGGCCUAAUGACAUCACCAUAAAAAACAGGUACCGUCUUCCCCCAAUCGCAACGGUCUUCGAGAUGCUGAAGGAAGACAGUAUAUUUACCAAGCUGAAACUGAGAAACGCAUACAACCUGGUGUGUAUUAGGGAGGGAGACGAAUGGAAAACUGCCUUUAACAUGUCCACAGGGCACUGCGAGUACCUGGUGAUGUCUUUUGGACUGACGAAUGUACCAGCGGUGUUCCAGAACUUCAUCAGUGACGUCCUUUGCGAGAUGCUCAAUAGGCAUGUUUUCGUGUAUCAUGACAACAUACUGAUUUUUUUCUCCCCUGACGAAAAUCCACUCCGCCAAGCAGACCGCCGAGCUUCUGUAGUACAAAGUGUUCCGGAACCACGGCUACCAUACCGACGUGCUGUCGGACAGGGGACCCCAUAGCGUUUCGCGAUUUUGGAGGGAGUUUUGGCCACUGAUAGGGGCCACGGCAAGUCUGUCCUCAGGUCAGCACCCAGAGUCCAAUGGGCAGACUGAACUGGUCAGGACAUGGAAACUGGUCUCCGUUGCCUGGCCUCCCGUGACCCCGCCUCAUGGAGUCGGCAGCUCGGCUGGAUGGAAUACUCCCACAACUCCCUUCUCUCAGCUUCGACAGGUAUGUAACCCUUCCAUGUAGAGCAUGGUUACCCUCCCUCUCUCUUCCCGUCUCUAGACACUGACUCACAGGUACCGUCAGCAUUGGCUGUGGUCAGGCGCUGUAAGCAGACCUGGGAGCCUACAAGGCUGCAGCGGACUGCAAGAGGUUGAGGUGCACUGACCUAUAAAGGUGGACAGCGCGGCUGGCUGUUGGCAAGAGACCUCCUGCCUGCUACAGAUGGAAUCUCACAAGCUGGCCCCCAGGUUCCUCGGUCCUUUGCCUGUCACUAAGGUGAUCAACCCGGUUGCAGUAAACUCCCGAGAUUGAUGCAGGUCCACCUUACCUUUCAUGUCAGUCUGCUCAAGCCAGCUCGGUCAUAUUCACCUUGAAAAUAAUGAGAUUCUUCCAGAAGUUCAGAGAACCUCUAUGUCUAUCAAGAAAAGGUACAUAAACGAAAGUAUUGCGACUAAGUUCAUGGAGACUCGAAAAUCUCAAAUAUCAUAAAUGCUGUUGCUCUUGCUCAAACAUCCUGUGGUGACCUAGAACACUGUGGAGGAACACGUUGAUGGUCAUGAGCUCAAAAUCAAAGUGUAGGAAAGUAAAACGCAAGUGGAGAAAAACUAAACUGCAAAUUGACAAUAACCUCUUCUGAUAGUGUCUUUGUCAUUUUAACCAAGAGUGAGUCAUCGUUUGGCAGCAACACUUUUCUGAAAUCAUCAGUAAGGACCUCAACGAUAAUCACACAGGUGUGUAUUGAGCUAUUAAAGAAAAUAAUAGUUGGGGGGAACUAAUUUGUCUCACAGUUUAUAGCAUAUGUUGAUAUUCUAUUAUCAUAAGUUAUGAGAAGAUAAUGGCAGCGCGCACAUCUGCUGUGGCUCUUAGCUCUCCAGUUUGGUGCUUUUUCUUUCUUAUUAUUUUGACGGUACUUGUGGAUUACUGUAAAGCCACAGUCACAUAUAACUUCCAGAACCUGAUCAAUCUGGGACUGAAGCAUAAUUAAUCAAAAACAAUGGAAUACCAAAAGGCAAACAAUAUUCCGGAGGACGGAUAGCCCCUCUCAGCAAGCGACGGAGAAGGCAGAGGGAGCGUAGGCAAAAACAAGGAAGCAACCUCCCAAACCUGCGCUUCCAAGUAUCUUUUUGACCAAAGCAAGAUCCAUUACCCACAAAAUGGAUCAAUUAGAAUUACAACUAGCCACGAGCAGCUUUGUCUGGAACUGCAGUACUAUUUUCAUCAAGGAGACGUGACUACACCCGCGAAUCACUGACACAGCAGUUUUGCUAGCUGGCCAAAUGCUACAUCGACAAGACAGAACCAAAGACUCGGUAAAUACAAAGGGGGAGGGCUUUGUGUCUAUAUGCACAAUGAAUGGUGUUCUAACAGCAGAAUCAUUGACACCCACUGUUCUCCUGAUUUAGAGGUCCUUGCAGUCUCGUGCAGACCCAUUUAUCUACUGAGGGAGCUAACAGUGGUCAUUGUGGUAGCUGUCUAUUUCCUGCUGGAUGGUAACAUUAGCGUACCACUAAGCCAUCUGCUCAUGACUGUAAACAAACAGCAGCUCGCCCACCCCAACAGAGAAUUGAUUGUUGCUGGUGACUUCAACCAAGCAUGUUUCAAGACUGUCUUACCCAAAUUCGUCCAGUAUGUGACAUGCCCCACCAGAGGAGACAAAACCCUGGACCAUGUUUACUCCAACAUUAAACAUGCAUACAAGGCUUCCACCCUCCCCAUCUUGCUGGAUCCGACCAUCUCUGCGUCACCCUCACACCCAUACACUGUACAUCCCCCUAUGUAAACUAAGGCCUCAAACAAAGACAAUUACAACAUGGCCUGAGAAUGCAGAAAGCAUCUCACCUGCAGGACUGUUUUUCUUGCACUGUUUGGGAAUUAUUUGAACACCAGACCCUCCAGGAACACAUAGUUCCUGUUCUGUCUUACAUCAAAAACUGUAUAGACACUGUGACUGUAAAUAGACAGAUCCAGGUUUUCCCCAACCAAAAACCCUAGAUGACCCGAGAGACUAAGGCACUCCUGAGAUGCCGCCUUAAGGUCAGGGGACAAGGCACAGUAUAGUCCCGCCAGAGCCGACUUAAAGAGGGGCAUCAGAGUGGCCAAGACGGCCUACAAAAGAAAUAUUGAGGAGUACUUCACAGAAAACAACUCAAAAAAAGAUGUGGGAGGGAUUACAACACAUCACAAACUACAACAGUAAGAACAAGAUGUGUGCGGAAAAUACAGACGCCUCACUGGCCGAAAAACUAAACCAUUUCUUUGCCCGUUUUGAGAUGGACAGUUCAAACCCAGGCUCAUCACAACCACAACCAUCACACUGAUGCUUCAAGAACAUGAAGUUAGAAGUGUGCUCAGGACUGUAAACACCAAUAAAGCUGCUGGCCCAGAUGGAGUGCCGGGGAAGGUACUGAAGGCCUGUGCUGAUCUGCUGACGGGUAUUUUUCACGAAAAUCUUCAAUAGAUCCUUGCAACAAUCAACCCUUCCCUCCUGCCUGAAAUCUGCAAAAAUCAUCCCUGUCCCAAAAAAAAGCAGCCAUUGACAGUCUAAAUGAUUGCAGGCCUGUUGCACUCACACCUGUGAUUAUGAAGUGCUUUGAGAGGCUGGUUGCACCCCACAUAAGGGGCUCACUUCCUCCCUCACUCGACCCUACCAGUUUGCCUACAGAGGAAACCGGUCCACCGAUUGGCUGAUGCAGCGUCUACCCGGUCCCACUGUUCAUCAAUAGGGACUUUGUGGAGAGGGUCCACACCUUCAAAUUUCUGGGAGUCUACAUCUUGGACAAACUCACCUACACUGUAAAUACCACUGCGGUGGUGAGAAAGGCCCAGCUGUGACUCCACUUCCUGAGAGUGCUCAGGAAGAACAACUUGGAAGCUAAGCUGCUGCAGGCCUUCUACAGAACCACCGUGGAGAGCAUCUUCACAUACUGCAUCACAUAGUGGUAUGCUGGAUGCACAGGAAAGGUCUGCAAAGAGUGGUCAACAGUUCCCAGAAGAUCACUGGCUGCUCUCUGGAGGGCCCGAGAGGACAUUGCCAACUCCCGCUAUCACAGCAGAGCCACUAAUAUUGUAAAGGACUUUUCACAUCCUGGUCAUCACCUGUUUAACUUGCUGCCCUCUGGCAGGCGGUGAACGUCCCACAAAACACGGACAACCAGAUUCAAGGAUAGCUUUUUCCCCAGAGCCAUCAACUCCUUCAACUCAAAACCACUGAAUAUAACAGUACUGUAAAGGAAUAUUAUGUAACUGCACUUUUGUGCAUUUAUUUAUUUAUGUAUGUAUUUAUUUAUUUUAGCAGUAACUGUACCUUAAUGUUUUAUCUGUUUUUUUUUUAUCUAAAAUGUGCUUAUAUUUUUAUUCUAUUUUAUUGAACCUUGG